CUUCACUGCGUCCUGAUGACCCAGCCUCGCAAGGAGGGGCCCGUGCUCCUCUUGUCCUCAGCGAGGGGAGAAAACCAUUUGUCCCCAGGCCCCUUCUGUGUUAGGCUCCCUGGCCCUCUGCCCCUCUCAGCCUAGCCCCUGCUUUGCUCCUCUUCCAC
RNAcentral lists this long non-coding RNA (158 nucleotides) under Mustela putorius furo (domestic ferret). RNAcentral describes it as "lncRNA (ENSMPUG00000031728.1)". Lineage: Eukaryota; Metazoa; Chordata; Mammalia; Carnivora; Mustelidae. The record is from RNAcentral.